CAUGCAGGUGGUUCUUUAAGUCUGACGUGAAAGCUCCCGGCUCAACUGGGAGAGGUCGUUGGAAACUGGAGAACUUGAGGACGGUAGAGGAGAGUGGAAUUCCCGGUGUAGUGGUGAAAUGCGUAGAUAUCGGGAGGAACACCAGUGGCGAAAGCGGCUCUCUGGGCCGUUCCUGACACUCAGAUGCGAAAGCUAGGGGAGAGAACG
This 207-nucleotide ribosomal RNA is filed under the name uncultured bacterium. RNAcentral describes it as "partial 16S ribosomal RNA". It matches the Rfam family "Bacterial small subunit ribosomal RNA", at positions 568 to 774 of the family's 1533-position model. The record is from RNAcentral.